UUGGGUUGUAGCUCAGUGGUAGAGCACUUGCCUUGCAUGUGUGAGGCACUGGGUUUGAUCCCUGGCACCAAA
This 72-nucleotide transfer RNA is filed under the name Marmota monax (woodchuck). RNAcentral describes it as "tRNA.Ala". It matches the Rfam family "tRNA". Rfam says of the family: Transfer RNA (tRNA) molecules are approximately 80 nucleotides in length. Their secondary structure includes four short double-helical elements and three loops (D, anti-codon, and T loops). The record is from RNAcentral. Lineage: Eukaryota; Metazoa; Chordata; Mammalia; Rodentia; Sciuridae.